This 1232-nucleotide ribosomal RNA is filed under the name uncultured organism. Its description in RNAcentral is "bacterial SSU rRNA". It matches the Rfam family "Bacterial small subunit ribosomal RNA", at positions 216 to 1487 of the family's 1533-position model. The record is from RNAcentral.
CGCUUUGGGAGGAGCUCGCUUACUAUCAGCUUGUUGGUAGGGUAAUGGCCUACCAAGGCUAUGACGGUUAGGGGGUGUGAGAGCAUGACCCCCAGCAUUGGCACUGAAACACUGGCCAAACACCUACGGGUGGCUGCAGUCGAGAAUCUUCCACAAUGGGGGAAACCCUGAUGGAGCGAUGCUGCGUGCGGGAUGAAGGCCUUCGGGUUGUAAACCGCUUUUGUAGGGGACGAAAUUUUUGACGGUACCCUUUCGAAUAAGAGGUUGCUAACUCUGUGCCAGCAGCAGCGGUAAUACAGAGACCUCAAGCGUUAUCCGGAUUUACUGGGCGUAAAGCGUCUGUAGGGGGUUUAUUAAGUUCCAAGUAAAAUUUCAAGGCUCAACUUUGAAUUCGCUUGGAAAACUAAUAAACUGGAGUCUAGCAGAGGUGCAUGGAACUUGUGGUGUAGGAGUGAAAUCCGUUGAUAUCACAAGGAACACCAAAGGCGAAGGCAUUGCACUGGGCUAGCACUGACCCUGAGAGACGAAAGCGUGGGGAGCAAAACGGAUUAGAUACCCGUGUAGUCCACGCCCUAAACGAUGAAUGCUAAAUGUUCGGGGAUUCGACCCCCUGGGUGUUACAGCUAACGCGUUAAGCAUUCCGCCUGGGAAGUACGGCCGCAAGGCUAAAACUCAAAGGAAUAGACGGGGAUCCGCACAAGCGGUGGAGCGUCUGGUUUAAUUCGACAGUAAGCGUGGUACCUCACCAGGGUUUGACAUCCCUUGACAGCCUUGGAAACAAGGUUUCCUUCGGGCAAGGUGACAGGUGCUGCAUGGUCGUCGUCAGUUCGUGCCGUGAGGUGUUCCGUUAAGUCGGGAAACGAACGAAACCCCUAUUGCAUGUUACAAUUUCUCAUGCAAGACUGCCCGGAUAUACUGGGAGGAAGGUGGGGAUGACGUCAGAUCUGCAUGGUCCUUAUACCCUGGGCGACACAGGCGCUACAAUGGCAGAGACAAAGGGUUGCAAAACCGCAAGGUGAAGCUAAUCCCAAAAACUUUGUCUAAGUUCGGAUUGAAGGCUGCAAUUCGCCUUCAUGAAGCUGGAAUCGCUAGUAAUCGUGAAUCAGCCACGUCACGGUGAAUAUGUUCCCGGAUCUUGUACUCACCGCCCGUCACACCAAGAGAGUUGGUAGCUCCCGAAGCGUCCCGUUUUAGCGGGGCAUCACGGAGAGAUCAGCGAUAGGGGUGAAGUC